AGGAAAGGAGAAGGGCCACA
Molecule: microRNA, 20 nt
Filed under: Canis lupus familiaris (dog)
Lineage: Eukaryota; Metazoa; Chordata; Mammalia; Carnivora; Canidae
Description: cfa-miR-8836
Source: miRBase by way of RNAcentral